CCUACGGGAGGCUGCAGUGGGGAAUAUUGGACAAUGGGGGCAACCCUGAUCCAGCCAUGCCGCGUGUGUGAAGAAGGCCCUCGGGUUGUAAAGCACUUUCAGUGAGGAAGAACGCCUGGUGGUUAAUACCCAUCAGGAAAGACAUCACUCACAGAAGAAGCACCGGCUAACUCCGUGCCAGCAGCCGCGGUAAUACGGAGGGUGCGAGCGUUAAUCGGAAUUACUGGGCGUAAAGCGCGCGUAGGUGGCUUGAUAAGCCGGUUGUGAAAGCCCCGGGCUCAACCUGGGAACGGCAUCCGGAACUGUCAAGCUAGAGUGCAGGAGAGGAAGGUAGAAUUCCCGGUGUAGCGGUGAAAUGCGUAGAGAUCGGGAGGAAUACCAGUGGCGAAGGCGGCCUUCUGGACUGACACUGACACUGAGGUGCGAAAGCGUGGGUAGCAAACAGGAUUAGAUACACUGGUAGUC
This 465-nucleotide ribosomal RNA is filed under the name Vreelandella stevensii. RNAcentral's name for it is "partial 16S ribosomal RNA". It matches the Rfam family "Bacterial small subunit ribosomal RNA", at positions 338 to 795 of the family's 1533-position model. Lineage: Bacteria; Pseudomonadati; Pseudomonadota; Gammaproteobacteria; Oceanospirillales; Halomonadaceae. The record is from RNAcentral.